This is a long non-coding RNA of Solea solea (common sole), 3174 nucleotides long. RefSeq lists it as uncharacterized. NCBI's taxonomy places the organism in Eukaryota, Metazoa, Chordata, Actinopteri, Pleuronectiformes, Soleidae. The transcript is spliced from 3 exons. The record is from RefSeq and is a predicted model, not a curated record.
CCCUCCCCCUCCCUCCCUCCCUCCCGUCUGUCCUGUGUUGGAUUUAGUCUCGACUUAAAUAGUUGAUUAGUUUUCUGCAGGAAAUUCUGGUACCUAAUUUUUAAAUGGCUUUGAUUUAAAAAGUUAAUAGUUGCAACUUGGCCCUGUUGACAAACGUGGAAGCUGAUCAUGUAGUAAAUACAUCAAAGUUUACUGUAACUUGUCUAAAGUUAUUUCAAAGUGCUGUAAAAAUGUAGUAAUUGAUUACGAGGAGCUAGAGCAGGUCUUCCUUUAUUCUCAACUGGUAAUUGCUUUAAGAUAACUGGAUCCUGAUUUGAUUAUGAAGCUAAACUUUUGAUUUAUAUGCAAGUGUAGUCACAUUAGAUUGUAGGUGUUAUUCAGCCCAUGGAUAAUGUUAUGAUAUACUUUAGAUCUGGAUUUUGUUGGCACUUAACGCACUGCCAUCAGCCUUUUGUAGUCGCUAACUUAAAUCGAAUUUAAUAUUGAUGCUGACUUGUCUCACUCUGCCAAGUUUAUUUCCCUCUAAAGGAGUUGAACCUUUUUGUGUUCAUAGUCUUUUUGCGCGUCAUGUUGGGAGGCCUCCCAGCAGGGGAUUUUUAUCUUCCCCUGUAAAACUACGUGUUACUCGCCUUUAGGGAUGCAGGCCUAUCCUGCAUAGUUUCUUUCAUAAAUGGGAUUGUAGGUUGCAGGUUUAGAGCGCGUUUCUUUUCUUUAGGAGGACACAAACCUGGCAGAGAGACAACUCGGAUUAUUUAAGUGAAAGUUGCGCCAAAUGUUCAAACCUUUUAUCUUUCGGACGACUUGAAAUAAAACCUUUUAUUCUGUGGGCUGACUUUCAGGAGUCAUGAUGUUUAGAAAAUCAGACAGAAUUUGGCUUCAUGUUAAGGACUGUUGUGCAAGUACCCUCUUGUAGCAGGAGUGAGCGGCUGCAGCUUUUUAAUUUUUCGUUAUUUGAUUUGUUUCUUGGAUUGACUUGGUGUCUGGAGCUUUGUGGUUAACAGUGAUCAUGUAAACGUGUAAACACAAGUGGUCUUUUGCCUCUUAUUUGCGAAGCUGGCAGCUGGUUGAAAUGAUAGGACUUUAUGGCUUGCCCAAAGUGGGAUUUUUGAUCGAGCAUAGGGUUAACACCUCACCAUACACUAGCUAUUUUGGCGAACAAGUGUCUGUAGUCCGUUAUUACCCAUUACUUUCUUUCAAAUUCCACAAUUUAGGCAGCUUGUAGAGUCAUUAGGAAGAUGCUUAAUCCCAAUGUCUUGGUUGGUUGCAUGAGAAACUGCUAUCUCUUAGAUGUGUUGGCGAAGUUCCUCCUCUGAUUUUUGUAGACUUGCCCUGAAGUUUCUCUCUGCUUUAACUAUUGUUGAGCUAUGCAUUAAAUGAUUCCUCCAACUUGUCUCCAUAUCAAUUUUUUUCUCCCCCCAGCCUUCCACCACCCACUGCUGCUGUUGCAUCUGCUAAAGGUAGCCGUAUCCUGAUUCACUGCGUCUUCAUGUGUUGGGUAAGAAGUGUCAUUGGACUAUUAACAAUGUAAACACCUUUUAAAUGCUUGAUCUAAUUUACCCAAAUGGUUCAUCAGUUUAGGGCAAAAAAAUCAUUGAAUUUGACAUUCUUGGGGUCAGUAACCUGACCUCUAAAUGUUUGGGAAACCAUGCAAAAGAUCGCAAGCUCUCUGCAUGACCCAACAGCAUCGAUGUUUGAGUGAUUUAAGUGCUCAAUUUUUAAAUCAGUCAAGAUUUUAUGAGCUGGGUCUUCUUCACACAACAGAGAACAAGGUAAAUUGAGUCGACUCGUAACAUGGUAAGGCAUUUUGUCUUUCCCCUUCUUCUCUGUGUGUGAGGAAAUCUGGCCACGGAUCCUGACUGAGUGGCAUACCAUGGCUGUGCAGUUUCCAAAAUCAGACAAGGAUCCAUCUGAUUUUGUGACUCAGCCUGUCAUGAUAUGCAUUUAACUUCCUCCGAAACAAAGGAUUGGAAUCGACAGGUUUGUAGUGUAAAUCACAUCACAUCACAUGUAGGUGGUGAAGCAUUCGUUUAAAUUGGGGUCAAGCAUUUUCAGGUGUCUGCUUUGUCAAUACUCUGGUGCCACAUCUUGCUAAACACACGAGAAGCUCUGAAUUGUGAAACUGCUGCCUCUUGCAGAUGUUACAACAGCAAUGGCUGUUGAAAGGCUGCAGGGAGAGAAAAUGAGAUCUGAGGACAGGAAAGUGGAAUUGAUUUCAUGCUUAGCAAAAUGAGGGUUUUAGCAGAGGACCUUUUUGCGGCUAAGCUACAGAAUCAGAAGGAACGUUUGUCUGGGCAACUGGGAGAUUUACAGUUUUUCAUGCAGCCAGCCAAGACAUUGGGGUUAGCAUCAUACCAAAUGGCUGGCAAAGAUUGCCUGUAACUGUCAGUGUAGAACAGGAAAGGCAGAUAUAGGUUAGGGAGGGCAUCCAUUGGUGAGCUCUGACUGGAUGUGAGGACCUGUCACACUUGACCAGAGAUGGAGGCUGCAGCACAUUCCUGGAUCAGAGGACUCCAUGUUGGACACCACGACCUGGAGAAGUCCCGUCCUGGGUGGCUGCAGUGAUGACCUCGCCCAAGAUGAACCGACCAUUCUGCGACGAGGACUUCGCCCAAGAUGAACCGACCCUUCUGCGAUGAGGACUUCGUCCAAGAUGAACCGACCCUUCUGCGAUGACGCCUCUUUUCUACGGGAUGUCUUCAGAUGUUGGACCUUGCCAAACUGUACACAUGGCUGCUACGUCACUCUGCCCAACAGGACAUGGUCACCAAGAUUUUUUUUUUUUUUAAAUGGACUUUAACCCCCCCAUCCCCCCUGACCCAUUAAUUUAAUAUCGAUGCUGACUUGUCUCACUCUGCCAAGUUUAUUUCCCUCUAAAGGAGUUGAACCUUUUUGUGUUCAUAGUCUUUUUGCGCGUCAUGUUGGGAGGCCUCCCAGCAGGGGAUUUUUAUCUUCCCCUGCAAAACUAUGCGUUACUCGCCUUAGGGAUGCAGGGCUAUCCUGCAUAGUUUCUUUCAUAAAUGAGAUUGUAGGUUGCAGGUUUAGAGCGCGUUUCUUUUCUUUAGGAGGACACAAACCUGGCAGAGAGACAACUCGGAUUAUUUAAGUGAAAGUUGCGCCAAAUGUUCAAACUUUUUAUCUUUCGAUACGAAACUUGAAAUAAAACCUUUGUUCUGU